Molecule: ribosomal RNA, 253 nt
Filed under: uncultured bacterium
Lineage: Bacteria
Description: partial 16S ribosomal RNA
Rfam family: Bacterial small subunit ribosomal RNA
Source: RNAcentral
GACAGAGGGUGCAAACGUUGUUCGGAAUCACUGGGCGUAAAGCGUGCGUAGGCGGUCUUGUAAGUCGGCUGUGAAAGCCCUGGGCUCAACCUAGGAAGUGCACUCGAUACUGCGAGACUUGAGUACUGGAGAGGUUGGUGGAAUUCUCGGUGUAGAGGUGAAAUUCGUAGAUAUCGGGAAGAACAUCGGUGGCGAAGGCGGCCAACUGGACAGAUACUGACGCUGAGGCACGAAAGCGUGGGGAGCAAACAGG